Molecule: ribosomal RNA, 42 nt
Filed under: Cadophora melinii
Lineage: Eukaryota; Fungi; Ascomycota; Leotiomycetes; Helotiales; Ploettnerulaceae
Also listed under: 4 other names
Description: partial 18S ribosomal RNA
Rfam family: Eukaryotic small subunit ribosomal RNA
Source: RNAcentral
GUAACAAGGUUUCCGUAGGUGAACCUGCGGAAGGAUCAUUAA